Topomyia yanbarensis is the source of this 543-nucleotide long non-coding RNA. RefSeq lists it as uncharacterized. The transcript is spliced from 4 exons. The record is from RefSeq and is a predicted model, not a curated record. Lineage: Eukaryota; Metazoa; Arthropoda; Insecta; Diptera; Culicidae.
UAGUGGCACAUUUUACACUUUUAUAAUUAGUGGCUCAUGUCCCUUCAGAUUUGACCGCACUUACCGCUUGAUGACGUCCCAGUUUGAUAUUUCUUUUGAGUGUUUUGAGAAAACUGAGAAAACGAAAAUCGUCAACGCAGGCCUGGAUACGGUUAAAGAAAUAUAAACAAAUUUUGGUAUCCUCGCAUCGUUGUCCGGAGCAGUUGGAUAUCAUUGUCAUCAAUAACCCCAGGGUUGAAAAAUUGAUUCGGUUCUGUGACUUCGAAUCUAAAGACUAUGGCGUGCGGCAUCGAAGAAUUUAUUCCGUGCAUUUUAGGUCGUCUUGUUUCAAACACCUAUUAAAUCUAUCUAAAGGAUGAUGAUCGAGUUGCACUUUUUGUUGCCAACGAACGGAAAACAGCGACCAGCUGCUGCAUUUGCUCCACCACCCGUUUUUUCUAAGAGAUCAGAGAUGUGUAUUUUCGCUCUGCAGUUUGUUGCUUUUAGCUAAAUAGUUGAAGAAAUUUUUCUCCUCAAAAUAUUUGAUUAUUUCUGCUGCCUCUG